CGAACCCAGUUUUUUUUUCAGGCAUAGUGUAUACUGAAGUUGAAAAAAGGGUUAUAACCUCAUCAAGGGAACCUCUGAGCAAGUCGGCAGCAGAUUCAGGAACAACGGCGCUAGCAAUCCAGUCAAGUAGCAUUAGGCCUGUAGGAAACAGUGGGAUUACUGAUGGAGAAAUUUUCUAUGUUUCUCCACAUACCAAGAGAAAGAACAUUUGAAAACUUCCUCGCCAACUUAUCAAGGUAUGGAGCACCUUGACUUCUACACGACAUUCUGUCCGGAAUGGUUUGAGGUCAGCCACAGGAAUGAGUUCCAUGAUCAAUGGUAUUUCUGUAGCGAUGAAGUUUGUGAGUUCUGGUUUUAUGAAGUAUGAUAAGAAAAUAGAAUGAAAGGAACGAUAUAUAAACCUGAGGAUUUCGAUAAUAUCAACCGUUUAGUUAUAGGAGUUGUGCUAAAAUAUCGGAUAGUGGGUUUGCACGUUGAGAAAAUAGAUUUGAUUUGUGGAAUUUAAAUUGAUUCCAAUUAUAUUCCUUUAUAAUAGGAUAUUAAUUUGUUGUGGAAGGUGAUUAGGAUAAUAGAUUUUGUAAUUCG
Molecule: long non-coding RNA, 585 nt
Organism: Raphanus sativus (radish)
Lineage: Eukaryota; Viridiplantae; Streptophyta; Magnoliopsida; Brassicales; Brassicaceae
Exons: 3
Source: RefSeq, a predicted model, not a curated record